AAAUUGAAGAGUUUGAUCAUGGCUCAGAUUGAACGCUGGCGGCAGGCCUAACACAUGCAAGUCGAACGGUAACAGGAAGCAGCUUGCUGCUUCUCUGACGAGUGGCGGACGGGUGAGUAAUGUCUGGGAAACUGCCUGAUGGAGGGGGAUAACUACUGGAAACGGUGGCUAAUACCGCAUAACGUCGCAAGACCAAAGAGGGGGACCUUCGGGCCUCUUGCCAUCAGAUGUGCCCAGAUGGGAUUAGCU
Molecule: ribosomal RNA, 249 nt
Filed under: Salmonella enterica
Lineage: Bacteria; Pseudomonadati; Pseudomonadota; Gammaproteobacteria; Enterobacterales; Enterobacteriaceae
Description: partial 16S ribosomal RNA
Rfam family: Bacterial small subunit ribosomal RNA
Source: RNAcentral